CUGGGAACUGCCUUUGUGACUGCAUAGCUAGAGUACGGUAGAGGGGGAUGGAAUUCCGCGUGUAGCAGUGAAAUGCGUAGAUAUGCGGAGGAACACCGAUGGCGAAGGCAAUCCCCUGGACCUGUACUGACGCUCAUGCACGAAAGCGUGGGGAGCAAACAGGAUUAGACACCCUGGUAGUCCACGCCCUAAACGAUGUCAACUGGUUGUUGGGAGGGUUUCUUCUCAGUAACGUAGCUAACGCGUGAAGUUGACCGCCUGGGGAGUACGGCCGCAAGGUUGAAACUCAAAGGAAUUGACGGGGACCCGCACAAGCGGUGGAUGAGGUGGUUUAAUUCGAUGCAGCGCGAAAAACCUUACCUACCCUUGACAUGCCAGGAAUCCCGCAGAGAUGUGGGAGUGCUCGAAAGAGAACCUGGACACAGGUGCUGCAUGGCCGUCGUCAGCUCGUGUCGUGAGAUGUUGGGUUAAGUCCCGCAACGAGCGCAACCCUUGUCAUUAGUUGCUACGAAAGGGCACUCUAAUGAGACUGCCGGUGACAAACCGGAGGAAGGUGGGGAUGACGUCAGGUCAUCAUGGCCCUUAUGGGUAGGGCUACACACGUCAUACAAUGGCCGGGACAGAGGGCUGCCAACCCGCGAGGGGGAGCUAAUCCCAGAAAUCCGGUCGUAGUCCGGAUCGUAGUCUGCAACUCGACUGCGUGAAGUCGGAAUCGCUAGUAAUCGCGGAUCAGCUUGCCGCGGUGAAUACGUUCCCGGGUCUUGUACACACCGCCCGUCACACCAUGGGAGCGGGUUCUGCCAGAAGUAGUUAGCCUAACCGCAAGGAGGGCGAUUACCACGGCAGGGUUCGUGACUGGGGUGAAGUCGUAACAAGGUAGCCGUAUCGGAAGGUGCGGCUGGAUCAUCUCCUU
RNAcentral lists this ribosomal RNA (913 nucleotides) under uncultured Roseateles sp. RNAcentral's name for it is "bacterial SSU rRNA". It matches the Rfam family "Bacterial small subunit ribosomal RNA", at positions 614 to 1532 of the family's 1533-position model. Lineage: Bacteria; Pseudomonadati; Pseudomonadota; Betaproteobacteria; Burkholderiales; Sphaerotilaceae. The record is from RNAcentral.